GACGAACGCUGGCGGCGUGCCUAAUACAUGCAAGUCGAACGCACUCUCGUUUAGAUUGAAGGAGCUUGCUCCUGAUUGAUAAACAUUUGAGUGAGUGGCGGACGGGUGAGUAACACGUGGGUAACCUGCCCUAAAGUGGGGGAUAACAUUUGGAAACAGAUGCUAAUACCGCAUAAAACCUAAACACCGCAUGGUGUAGGGUUGAAAGAUGGUUUCGGCUAUCACUUUAGGAUGGACCCGCGGUGCAUUAGUUAGUUGGUGAGGUAAAGGCUCACCAAGACCGUGAUGCAUAGCCGACCUGAGAGGGUAAUCGGCCACACUGGGACUGAGACACGGCCCAGACUCCUACGGGAGGCAGCAGUAGGGAAUCUUCCACAAUGGACGAAAGUCUGAUGGAGCAACGCCGCGUGAGUGAAGAAGGUUUUCGGAUCGUAAACUCUGUUGUUGGAGAAGAAUGUAUCUGAUAGUAACUGGUCAGGUAGUGACGGUA
RNAcentral lists this ribosomal RNA (490 nucleotides) under uncultured bacterium. RNAcentral describes it as "bacterial SSU rRNA". It matches the Rfam family "Bacterial small subunit ribosomal RNA", at positions 28 to 477 of the family's 1533-position model. The record is from RNAcentral.